GGUUCAGAUCAAAGUUUUAUUAUUUGUGCUUUAGUUUAAGCUCAUGUUAUUUUUGUUGGAGAAACUCGAAACUCUAUUCCAGGAUUGUCUAGUGCAGACAUCUAUACCCAUGGUUAUUUAUUUGCACAAUUAUUUUCCUGGACUCGCUCUCUUCUCUACUUAAGAGUACGUGUGUUGUAUCACAUAUGAAAAUUAGUUAUUAGAGUGAUUAUCAACCUUGAUUCUUUAUCCAUCAAAUUCGAAUAUCCAAUGAGGAUGGGAGUUUUACUGGUUGAAGUGACAAGCAUUAGUUAUGAUUGCAACAGUUGCAUUCAUUACCGUACUUGGAUGUAUAUCUAAUAGGUUAUAAUGUGUAAACACUUUUGCAUGUUCUCGUAACUUCAAUAUGCUCACAAAUUAAUUCCAAACCUAGUCUGAAUUUUGAUUAAGUUGAAUACUUCCUGCACCCUAGCUUUCACUAAAAGAUACACUUGUUGCUAUUGAUGUCUGUUUGCGUUUUGUAAAAUAGAUAAUCAUAUAUAGCCUGUUUCCAUUGUUGAUUUAUUGACUACUUACACUUUCCUUGGUUUUCUUUCCUUGUAUGGAAAUGUGGUAUUCUCAAUGAGUUUCUGAAUUUCCUUCCCACCUUAGUGGAAUAGCAUAUAUGGACUCCCUUUUUAUUUUCUGGCAGGUUGAUAAAUUGACACUAGUUUGGGGAAAACCACGGCAACCAUCUUUGGCGCCUGAAGAGGUAAGAGCUGGGCUUUGUUGAGGAUAAGUUCUAUUGAAAAUUGCAACGUAUUUUUACCAAGCAGAUGUUUAUCAUUUCAUAAAAUUUGAAUUUGUAUCUCUAAAAAUUUGAGGCAGUGGCAGGUGUGUAAUGAAUACUAUUAUUUAUCAAACUUCUAUGUUCUUUGUGCUUUAGACCAACUAUAUAUGGAUGUUUCUUGUUUAUUGUGCUUUUUUUGCUUGCAAGCAGAACCUAUUUGUGCUGAUAGAUAGAGCUAGAACUUAUAGGUAUAGCAAGGUAUGCAUUAUUUAGAUCUUCUCUUCUUUUGCCGUGUUUGGAAAAUUGUUUCUUGUUUUUCCUCUUGUUUGGUUUUAUAUGCUAAUUUGUACAUGUUUAUGCCUUGUAUAUUAGUCCAACUUAUUAAACAAAUUGUCUCCUAACAAAAAUUCUAAUCACACUAAUAUAAGUUCAAACCUUUUACAUUCUUUGAAGAUGUGAAUGGAUAUCUUGGUUGAUACCUGUUGAUCAAUUUUAUAGACUAGGCCAAACCUUA
Molecule: long non-coding RNA, 1262 nt
Organism: Juglans microcarpa x Juglans regia
Lineage: Eukaryota; Viridiplantae; Streptophyta; Magnoliopsida; Fagales; Juglandaceae
Exons: 3
Source: RefSeq, a predicted model, not a curated record